Sarcophilus harrisii (Tasmanian devil) is the source of this 3161-nucleotide long non-coding RNA. Lineage: Eukaryota; Metazoa; Chordata; Mammalia; Dasyuromorphia; Dasyuridae. The record is from Ensembl.
UGCUGAUAGCCGCCCACUUAGGAGGACUGGAGCGGGGGCGGACCCCCAAGAAAUUGCAAAUGACUAAGCACAUUCAUGGGACUGAGAGAGGGCAAAAGAGAUAUCACGUUAAAAAACAAAACAAAACAAAACAAAACAAACAAAAAAAUCCAGCCCACUGAAGACGUUCAUAAAGAGCGGAGGGGGAAGGAGGAGAAGAGAGGAGUGGAUCCCGGGCUACACUUUGGGUGUCGGUUGAAGCCCCCAACGGCUUCAACUAGCCUAGCUCAGCAAACAAAAUACUCCCCAAUUCAAAAACUAAAAUCUCCUUAGUUUUCCUGCAAGUUUCUCUCCGGGGGAGAGCAAGGGUCUGGCAGUAGAGGUAGGGAAGAGCCCAGCCCAGCUGGGAGCAGCGUCUCUGUGCCACAUCUGGCGGACGUGCCCCGGAGAUUGCAAACUUUGAAUGGAGUGAAGUUCUCUUCCUGUGGAGAUGGAAGCCUGGCUCCCUUUGCUGCCCGGGUAGCUGCCACACCCCGCCGUCUGGCGUCUUCCCAGGAAAACCUGAAAUACUAAAGCCAACCACUGUCCCUCCUCAUCCCGCCAGACUCUCUCUCCCUUGAUGUCCGAAAACUCCUUCAGUCGCUAGACAUCCCCACCCCCACCCCCUUUCCCCUAACCCACAGUUUCUCGCUUGGGCCUUUUUUUAACUGGUGCAGUUAGCCAUCCGGAUCUACGCCGAUCCUUAAUUCCCCACCCAACUAAAGAGUGAGUGACAAAUGCCAAAGACGAUCAGCCUCCAAACUGCCCAGCUCCAAGUUCUGGUCAGUGAACGCAUAUUGCUCACCAGGCCUGUUGAUCCAGUACUCAUCUCCAGCAUUUUUCUAGUUCUCCAUUCUCCUCCCCACCAUCUUUCAUCAGUUCCCUGCUGGGCCAAGACCCACAAGAGCUGAGAUUUGUUCAGCAAGAAGUUCCUGAGUCUUCAAAUAGCCAAAGAACACGCUUGCAGGUAUCAGUGAAGAUUGGAGAAAUGCUCCGGAAGGAAAAUCGUGAUAGUUGGAAAACGGUGAUUUGAGAGAAACUAAGAAAGUGUCCAUAUCUGAACUUCUAAUCUGAAGAUUUCAAAAGCAAGAACUUAAUUGACUUGAUUGAAUUUCUUCUCUUAUCUCUUGGCGAAGAAGCCCUCCCAAAGUGAAAUACAAAGGACCAAGAAUCAUUAGCAAAGAAGAUAAUGCUUUAGUAAAACAAAUCUUUGAAAACCAAACUACCUCCAUCCUGCCCCCUCCAGGACAGUAGUUCUAAGGUUCUGUCUUUGCAGUCUGAAGAGAAGGGAGAUUUAGUUUUUCCAGCGUUCUAACGCCGCAGAAAUUGCUCUCUGAAGCCUCAGACGAAAACGCUAUGUACGUACCAAGAACAUUCGUUAUUACUGAGAUUUCUGUAAUUAAUAUCAGACAACUAUAAGCACCCUGCAUGUCUUUAAACCAAAUCUCUCUCCUUCCUAACUGUAUCCUCUUUCUUCACUGCAAGGGAUUUCCCUCUACGUUCUCAUAUUUGGUUGCACAAAGAUGAUGGGAAAAUUGUCUUCUGAGGAUGUUCUGCACCUUUCUUUUUAUCUUUAACUUCAAAUUUUUGUCAAGGACUACACUGACGCGUUUCUCAUCAGUAUAUUCUCUCUCCUUCCCUUCUUCUCUCUCUCUCUCCCUGCCUCCUCCUUUUCUCUCCCCACUCCUGUUAGUUUUUGUCACUUUGUCUCUGUCUCCCUCUAUUUCUCUGUCUCUGUUUCUACCUGUCUCUUGUUUCUCCUGCCUUUCUGCAUUUCUGUCUCUUGACUGUCGCUAUCUCUGCAUCUAUCAGUUGUCUCUUGCCUAUCUUUAUGUUUGUCUGUGUGUCUCUUCCCCCAAAUCCUUCCAGGUCAACUUAUAGAAAAAGGAUACCAACAUCCCGCCCUUUGUUGGGCAUUCUAAAAUGGAAAGCAAUCGUAAGAACCCAGAUAUUCUUACGUGAAUGAGAAUCGUUUCUAAUUUACUGAAGAAUUAAGAAUCUACCUGGACAACCAUUAAAAAAAAAAAAAAAAAAAAAAAAAAAAAAAAGGAAACCUCACUGAAUGGUCCCCCUUUCAUUUCAGCAUAAAGUACUACGGGAGAGACAAUUAUCCGUAACAGGUCCUGGAAAAUUUCUCCAUCAAUUUUCAAGAUUCAGAGUUGGAAGCAAACUAAUGCAUUUCCUUUAGCAGACAAAAAAAAAAAAAAAAAAAAAAAAAAAAGGCAAAUGAUUUAUUAGGAAAGAUCACACAGUGCUCAAAACAAUUUGCAUAACCAGAAAAAGAAAACUGGGUACAACCAAGUCAGUUUUAGGUGAUAUUAUAUGAAGGGGGAAAUGAUUGAAACUGGCAGUUGAAUACUUUUCCUAUAAAAGUACAGUUCUGGUUCAUUUAAAUGUGCUAAUUUCAAGACAGAAUACAAGGCUAAAAUUAAAAUAAAAGUUGAUUAUGCCUAGGGAAUUGCUACCAACACUGCUGCAGUUCUGUCUUUUCUGCUGUUUUUGUAAAAUGCAGGAAGACAUGAAAAGGGACCUAUUUUCUCAGCAUUUUCUUUAAAGAAGAAAAUCUGACCAGGGCACUUCAUGUUCAACUGCUGAAAUGAUAGGUUUCAAAACUUUUCCAAAACUCUUUUGUUCGGACAUCAUUUCUGCCUGAAUUGCUUUCAGAUUCUGAUUACACUCUCUGUUUACCGCAGAGUAUUUUUUAGUAGUUUUAAGAAACAGCCCUUUAACCAAACAGCAAGCAGGAACAAGGAAUUCUUGUCAUUCUCCUCCCUACAAACCCCUCCUCCAUCUUAUACCCCCCACCAAAAAAAAAAAAAUGGGGAAUGAUAACAAAAGGUUUUCUUGCACUUUUAGGAUUUUUGACUCUCUCACAUUCUCAGGCCUCUAUUUUCACAUCAGCUGGUAUGAUCAGUUUUCUGGCUUCAAUAAUCUUUUCAUCAUCCUAGAUUCUUAGAUUUAAAAUAGAAAGCAGAAACAACACUAGCCUGUCAAAUGCUCUGAGCUGGAAGUGUUGGGGGCCAGGAGAGAAGGAAGAGAAUAGCAAUUGAUGGGAUUUCCUUGGGCAAUCCUCAUGAAAAAGUCAGUCAGUCAAGAACCUUUAUUGGAGGCCAGCUGUGUACAGAGCACUGUGUUAGGCACUG